This 93-nucleotide ribosomal RNA is filed under the name Bomarea dulcis. RNAcentral's name for it is "5.8S ribosomal RNA". It matches the Rfam family "5.8S ribosomal RNA", at positions 40 to 130 of the family's 154-position model. From Rfam's summary of the family: 5.8S ribosomal RNA (5.8S rRNA) is a component of the large subunit of the eukaryotic ribosome. Lineage: Eukaryota; Viridiplantae; Streptophyta; Magnoliopsida; Liliales; Alstroemeriaceae. The record is from RNAcentral.
AGAACGUAGCGAAAUGCGAUACUUGGUGUGAAUUGCACAAUCCCGUGAACCAUCGAGUCUUUGAACGCAAGUUGCGCCCGAGGCCAUCCGGCC